AAGGCUUGACAUAUACCGGAAUAUGGCAGAAAUGUCAUAGCUGUAAAAGGUCGGUAUACAGGUGGUGCAUGGUUGUCGUCAGCUCGUGUCGUGAGAUGUUGGGUUAAGUCCCGCAACGAGCGCAACCCUCGUUCUGUGUUGCCAGCAUUUAGUUGGGGACUCACAGGAGACUGCCGGGGUCAACUCGGAGGAAGGUGGGGAUGACGUCAAAUCAUCAUGCCCCUUAUGUCUUGGGCUGCACGCAUGCUACAAUGGCCGGUACAAAGGGCUGCGAUACCGCAAGGUGGAGCGAAUCCCAAAAAGCCGGUCUCAGUUCGGAUUGGGGUCUGCAACUCGACCCCAUGAAGUCGGAGUUGCUAGUAAUCGCAGAUCAGCAACGCUGCGGUGAAUACGUUCCCGGGGC
This 403-nucleotide ribosomal RNA is filed under the name uncultured bacterium. Its description in RNAcentral is "bacterial SSU rRNA". It matches the Rfam family "Bacterial small subunit ribosomal RNA", at positions 976 to 1380 of the family's 1533-position model. The record is from RNAcentral.